ACCCCUUUGUAGUUCAUAAGCAUGAUGAUCGGGUGUUCAAGCCCAUGUAUGAGGCGCGCCUCCCUCAAACCUUGUUACAAUGUCGGUACAGCACCAUCUGACG
Molecule: small nucleolar RNA, 103 nt
Organism: Saimiri boliviensis boliviensis (Bolivian squirrel monkey)
Lineage: Eukaryota; Metazoa; Chordata; Mammalia; Primates; Cebidae
Product: small nucleolar RNA U13
Source: RefSeq, a predicted model, not a curated record